Molecule: non-coding RNA, 45 nt
Filed under: unclassified sequences
Description: SAM-SAH-Weickhmann-2018 RNA
Rfam family: SAM/SAH riboswitch aptamer
Source: RNAcentral
AACUUACAACGGCUACCUGAAGUAGGUUUAUUUAACAACGGAGCA